GUCUGCGCAGACCUUCACCAGAAACAUUAAAAAAAAUAGUUUCUUUGCUUGCUUUGCCCUCUCACUUCAAACCACCCAUUUUCCGACGAAGCUCCGGCCGGCAAGGGUUCCCUUUGGGUAGAGUCACACACAUACUUCAACUUUCUACAAGAAAAGAGUUGGAUUGAGAUUCAUGUGUGGUUCUUGAACCAAUUCAAGAGGAGGCUUGGAAUUCUUGAGUUGGUGGAACUAACAAGGUUCAAGGUUUGUGAAUUGGCGUGGAGUGUACGUUGCUUGUUGGUGAGAAUUUCGAGUCCACUUCGAGGUGAAACAGGAUCUAGUGUAUAGGCUGUGGAUCAGCAGGAGGACGCGUGACAGAGGUGGUCUGGACCUUUGUUUAUUCUUUUGUGUUUAUGUGGUACAUGUGUACGGUUAUAUACCUAUGGAUGUAUAUGUAUGACUUGUCGUUUACAUGCCACAGUUGUGUGAGUAGGUUAUAUUUGGAGUUAUGUUUACGUUUUGAAUGUGCAUUGUAUUUGGUUGGUCGGGAGUGGUGUUCUGUGACUACUGUGUGACUGAUGAUGAUGAUGAGAUGUGUAUGACUGUGGACCCUGAGGGUCGGUUGACUUUUGGAAGUGCUAGAAGCUAUUUUGUUAUUUGUAUGUUUGUU
Molecule: long non-coding RNA, 649 nt
Organism: Tripterygium wilfordii
Lineage: Eukaryota; Viridiplantae; Streptophyta; Magnoliopsida; Celastrales; Celastraceae
Exons: 4
Source: RefSeq, a predicted model, not a curated record